CUGGAAACCUUUGCAGAACAUUGUUUUAUUACAAGACCAAACUUGGGACAAAGGGCAACUACAGGCAAAUGCAAAAAAAAAAGUGUAUAAUAACAGGGGAACAGACUGUUGUCAGGUUACAAAAACAAGCUAGGCUAGCAAUAUACUUGCUGUUAUUUCAUCUACACGUUUAUGUGUUCAUAUUUGGUGCCUUAAGUGUUAUGCUACAUAAGUGUCAUCCAUUGUGUGCAACCUAAGAAAUUCAAAGUGCAAAGUGCUGCAAAAUUAGAAAUGCUAAGGGCAGUGCAGGCACUCAAGCAGCAUCAGAAUGACUGAAAGUUAUACAUCUGCAUGAUAUGUCCUUGCUUUUAGUACAUAGCCAAUUAUGUGAACAUAUUCAAAACAGCCGUUUGUCUGUAUGAGGGAAUGAGCAAACAGCAAGUACAUCUCUAACAGUUUAGGCUGGGAAAGAAUCAGAACCAUUUUAGAAAAAGGUUGAGGUCUUUCAUGGGUAAUAAAAGCCUCCUCUUCAAACACCAGAUCAGUCACAUACAGUCAUGAAACAUUUCCUCAUGAUCUUCUUAUGUGUUUUGGCCUGGUGCAGAAGAAACAUAAAGCAGGUCAGUUAUCUCCUCUUCUAAUGGUAAUUGUGGUAGUCAUUGGUGGUGGGGAUACACCUUGGGUUGUUGGUGAAGGAGGCGGUGCUGAGGUUGUUGGAAGGCGUAGUUGUAGGCAUGGAAGAGAGGUGGAGGAAAUAACUUGCCAGACAUGGACAUCAUGGAAACACCUGAAAUAAAUCUCAUGUAUUUUUGCCCAGACCUUUGUUGCAUAAGAAACCUAGUGGUUGUAGUUGUUGGAGGCUUGGUUGCAGUUGCAGUUGUUGGGGGAGUGGUUGUAGUUUUUGGUGGUGGAGGAGGAGGUGGAGCUGGAGCUGGAGUUGUUGUUGGAGGUAAGGUUGUAAUUGUAGUUAAUGGUGGUGGAGGUACACCUGGGGUUGUUGGUGGAGGAGGUGGAGCUGGAGUUGUUGUUGGAGGUAAGGUUGUAAUUGUAGUUAAUGAUGGUGGAGGUACACCUGGGGAUGUUGGUGGAGGCGUGGUUUUAGUUGUAUCAGGAAGGUUGUAGUUGUGGGAGGGAUGUGGUGGAAUUAUCUUGUCAGACAUGGAUACCAUAGAAACAUCUGAAAUCAAUCUUCUUGUUUUUUUUUUGGCCUAGACUUGUAGUGUAGGUCAGUUAUCUCCUCUCCUAGUGGUGGUGGUUGUAGUUGGUGGUGGUGGGGGUAUACCUGGGGUUGUUGGAGGAGGAGGUGGAGGUGGGGUUGUUGUGGUAGUUGUUGUUGUUGUUGUUGGCGUGGUUGUGGUAGUUGGAGGCUUGGUUGUAGUUGUGGUUGUUGGUGUUGGGGGUAUACCUGGGGUUGGAGGAGGUGGAGGUGGGGUUGUUGUGGUAGUUGUUGUUGUUGGCGUAAUUGUGGUUGUUGGUGGUAUACCUGGGGUUGUUGGUGGAGGAGGUGGAGCUAGGGUUGUUGUUGGAGAUGUGGUUGUAGUUGUUGGUGGUGGAGGAGGUGGAGCUGGGGUUGUUGUUGGAGGCGGGGUUGUAGUUGUGGGAGGGAGGUAGAUGAAAUAUCUUGGCGGACAUGGACACCAUGGAAACAUCUGAAAUUAACAGAUUUCAAAGGUUAGUGGACCAGACACUCUUAAUUAACCUUUUCUUAGGUGUCCCUUAAACUGAGUCCCAACAUCCUUAAAUUUAGUUUUUAAACCUUUUUAUAAAAAGAAAUACAGUAGAGAUAUUUAUAAAUACACACAUACACACAUUAGAACGACAAUUUUUGUACUUUAUCAUUUAACACCAACACAUCAUUACAGCCCUCAUUUCUUCUAAACUGAAUCACACAGCGCUCUUUACAGAGUUAUUGUCUGACACAUUUUUUAUUAAGCAUGCUAACACUUCUUACUCUGCCACUCUCCACUGUUUAAAUUAGAGUGAAAGAUGCUAAAUAAUGAUCAGUCUGCAUGUUGACAUAUAUUUUAUGAUCUUGCUUUAGUAGUUAUUAACAGCAUUAUCAUUCCAGUGUAGAUUCAGUGUCGAAAAGUGUGAAUUCAGCCAACGUCUGUCAGUUUUCUCACCAGUAGGGGAACUCUCCGCUGAUAUGGAAAAACCUGAAAUGAAAAAAUCACAAACUUUGAUUACAUUUUUUGUAGUAACUCAUAACAUGUUCAGCAUGUAUUAUUAGAUAUUAAGGAAACAUGUUAAGUUUUAGCACCAGCACCAUGUCCUUAUUUGAACUGUGUGGUAUGUCAUGGUAAUCUGAUAGAUAGAUAGAUAGAUAGAUAGAUAGAUAGAUAGAUAGAUAGAUAGAUAGAUAGAUAGAUAGAUAGAUAGAUAGAUAGAUAGAUAGAUAGAUNAUCUGAGAAGGGUGUAUUUUUGUAAGUUCAUAUUCAUAAAGUUUUAAAAGUUUAGAAAUCAAUAUUUGCUGUAUUUUAAUCAUGUUUUUAAUGCAUCUUGGCAGGUUCUCCUCCACCAGUUUUACACACUGCUUUUGGAUAACUUUAUGCCACUCACUCCUGGUGCAAAAAUUAAAGCAUUUCAGCUUGGUUUGAUGGCUUAGUACUUAUUAAACAGUAAAAAUGUAAAUCCUGUCAACUUCUGCCACUUUCUCACCUGGAUUGGGGGAAAUCUCUGCUGAUUUGGAAACACCUGAAAUGAAAUAAUUUCAAAUAUUAAUAAACACUCCUCAUCUUAAUCA
Molecule: long non-coding RNA, 2722 nt
Filed under: Astyanax mexicanus (Mexican tetra)
Lineage: Eukaryota; Metazoa; Chordata; Actinopteri; Characiformes; Acestrorhamphidae
Description: lncRNA (ENSAMXG00005007215.1)
Source: RNAcentral